UGGGGAAUUUUGGACAAUGGGCGCAAGCCUGAUCCAGCCAUGCCGCGUGCAGGAUGAAGGCCUUCGGGUUGUAAACUGCUUUUGUACGGAACGAAAAGACUCUGGUUAAUACCUGGGGUCCAUGACGGUACCGUAAGAAUAAGCACCGGCUAACUACGUGCCAGCAGCCGCGGUAAUACGUAGGGUGCGAGCGUUAAUCGGAAUUACUGGGCGUAAAGCGUGCGCAGGCGGUUAUAUAAGACAGAUGUGAAAUCCCCGGGCUCAACCUGGGACCUGCAUUUGUGACUGUAUAGCUAGAGUACGGUAGAGGGGGAUGGAAUUCCGCGUGUAGCAGUGAAAUGCGUAGAUAUGCGGAGGAACACCGAUGGCGAAGGCGGUUUUCUAGCUUAUUCCUGACGCUGAGGCGCGAAAGCAAGGGGAUCAAACA
Molecule: ribosomal RNA, 427 nt
Filed under: uncultured bacterium
Lineage: Bacteria
Description: bacterial SSU rRNA
Rfam family: Bacterial small subunit ribosomal RNA
Source: RNAcentral